This 72-nucleotide transfer RNA is filed under the name Ovis aries (sheep). It matches the Rfam family "tRNA". Rfam says of the family: Transfer RNA (tRNA) molecules are approximately 80 nucleotides in length. Lineage: Eukaryota; Metazoa; Chordata; Mammalia; Artiodactyla; Bovidae. The record is from Rfam by way of RNAcentral.
UCCCUGGUGGCUUAGCUGGUAAAGAAUCCGCCUGCAAUGCGGGAGACCUGGGUUCAACCCCUGGGUUAGGAA